This 450-nucleotide ribosomal RNA is filed under the name uncultured bacterium. RNAcentral's name for it is "partial 16S ribosomal RNA". It matches the Rfam family "Bacterial small subunit ribosomal RNA", at positions 354 to 796 of the family's 1533-position model. The record is from RNAcentral.
GUGGGGAAUUUUGGACAAUGGGCGCAAGCCUGAUCCAGCAAUGCCGCGUGCAGGAUGAAGGCCUUCGGGUUGUAAACUGCUUUUGUACGGAACGAAAAGACUCCUUCUAAUAAAGGGGGUCCAUGACGGUACCGUAAGAAUAAGCACCGGCUAACUACGUGCCAGCAGCCGCGGUAAUACGUAGGGUGCAAGCGUUAAUCGGAAUUACUGGGCGUAAAGCGUGCGCAGGCGGUUAUAUAAGACAGAUGUGAAAUCCCCGGGCUCAACCUGGGAACUGCAUUUGUGACUGUAUAGCUAGAGUACGGUAGAGGGGGAUGGAAUUCCGCGUGUAGCAGUGAAAUGCGUAGAUAUGCGGAGGAACACCGAUGGCGAAGGCAAUCCCCUGGACCUGUACUGACGCUCAUGCACGAAAGCGUGGGGAGCAAACAGGAUUAGAAACCCGGGUAGUCC